Spodoptera frugiperda (fall armyworm) is the source of this 1419-nucleotide RNA transcript. RefSeq lists it as uncharacterized. NCBI's taxonomy places the organism in Eukaryota, Metazoa, Arthropoda, Insecta, Lepidoptera, Noctuidae. The record is from RefSeq and is a predicted model, not a curated record. The transcript has 4 exons.
GAGAAUGGCAGAAUUCGUACAGCAUACUUUUUUUGGUGUUCCCUGAUAAAAUUUGUGCCACUUAUUAAGGGAACUAAGCCAUUCAUUUUUCUGUAAAAAUAAUAUUUUUAGAAGCUGGGGUUUAGCAAAUAUAUCAAUUAAAAGAUUUUAGUAACGAAACGUAAUAUAAUGAAACGAAACGUAGAAGACAUGUUUAGUUAGUUGCCAUUAAUAAAAUAUCAGAAGGCUCGAAAUGAUAAAUAAAUAUUUUGAAAUAGAAAUAACAGUAAAUAUAAUUAACCAAUUACAGGUUAUACCUUAGAAUAUAUAAUUAAUGCAUAUAUAUGCAUAGAAUCUUUAUAUUUAUAGGAAUUAUUUUUGCCAUCAGUAUUUUUUUUUGUAAUGGCAAUUAUUUAUUGACAGGUUCGUAAAAUCCCUAAUCUUUCAAAGUCUGUCUGUCCAGUUUUUGCCGUUGUUUUGUUUUGGAUUGUAGUUUGUAACUUCAUCUAAACAAUUUAGCAAUUAUCUGGCCAUUUUUACGUUGAGUUGAGCAACUGCUUCUCCGUUCUCUAUCUGUUGAUACUACUUUCGCGAAAGGACGCUUUAUUAAUUGUGUUGUGUGUUACGUGUUUUAUUGAAAAUGACGAGUUUGCAAUGCAUCAAUUGCAAUGUUCGCUUGUCCCGAAGAAGAAGACACGCUUUAUCAAAUGACGGUGAAGAUAUCGUCAACACUAAUCGUCUGUGGACAUAUCUUAGAGAUAUUACACCAGAUGACCAUGUUUACCAUGAAUGCUGGCAGCUAGCUAGUCAUUCAUGUUCCUCUGAUAAUAUGCCGAGAAGACACAUAGGCCAUCAGUGUUUGUGUUGUAUAUGGACAACCCAUACUAAGAAUCAGGCAAUGCAGAAUUUUGAUUGAAGAAGAACAAAGAACGGCUUACACAAUUGCAACUUAGAUAUAACCACAACAGCUUCAUCCUGAAGAUAAAGCUUGUGUGCGGUGUUGGUUAAGAGUGAGAACUAAGGAUACUUCACCAAAUGAAGAUAUUCAACCCGUUGAACCUUAUCAGCAGGAAAGUGAUAAUUCUGAACUGAUGUGUGCUGCAUGUGGUCAAAGUCUUACUCCCGACAACACUGCUUGUUUGUUGGAGCACCAGCAGACACCUUCCAUUAAUGAAGUUUGUGAAGUUUGCUGGGGCCAAGUAUGCAAUUUGAACUUCUAUGUUCCAGAUGGUCUAUGUUGCUUCAAGCUAAAAUAAAGUCCUGCCACUCUUCUCCUAGAACUUAUUUUGUUUUCAUAGUUGCAGAAACAAAUAUGAAUAGCCGGGACACAAUCAAAAGUAUUUGCUGUAAUUGUAUUGUAGGUUUAAGAACAGUGGGAUGCUGCUCACAUGUUAUGAGCAUUCUUUGGUAUUUGAGUUAUGCUUGCCAUGAGGGUAUGAG